ACACACCCUUAUGCAUGCAACAAUAAUCUUUUUAUUUCCUUAAGAAAUGGCAGAUCAUUAGGGCACUUCAAUCUAAUAAUUUCUUUCAGUUACCGUAUCAUGAAAACAAAUUAUGAACACUCUUCAAAAAGGAUAAUACCGUAUAUGUUCAUAACUUACUUCAGUGAAUUAAACAAAUCUAAAUUGGUUAUGAUACCAAAGGAUGUGUCCUUCUUCGACAAUGCAUCAUUUUUCAAAAAUACCAUCUUA
This 249-nucleotide long non-coding RNA is filed under the name Brassica napus (rape). RNAcentral's name for it is "long non-coding RNA (BNAP_LNC003744)". The record is from RNAcentral. Lineage: Eukaryota; Viridiplantae; Streptophyta; Magnoliopsida; Brassicales; Brassicaceae.